Molecule: ribosomal RNA, 544 nt
Filed under: uncultured bacterium
Lineage: Bacteria
Description: bacterial SSU rRNA
Rfam family: Bacterial small subunit ribosomal RNA
Source: RNAcentral
UGGGCCCGAGUUUGAUCAUGGCUCAGAAUCAACGCUGGCGGCGUGCCUAACACAUGCAAGUCGAACGCGAAAGUCCCGCAAGGGAUGAGUAGAGUGGCAAACGGGUGAGUAACGCGUGGGUGACCUGCCUUCGAGCGGGGGAUAACGUUUCGAAAGGAACGCUAAUACCGCAUAACAUCCUGCCUUUGAACAGGUGGAGAUCAAAGCUGGGGAUUCGCAAGAACCCGGCACUUGAAGAGGGGCCCGCGUCUGAUUAGCUAGUUGGUGAGGUAACGGCUCACCAAGGCGACGAUCAGUAUCCGGCCUGAGAGGGCGGACGGACACACUGGGACUGAGACACGGCCCAGACUCCUACGGGAGGCAGCAGUGGGGAAUUGUUCGCAAUGGGCGCAAGCCUGACGACGCAACGCCGCGUGGAGGAUGAAGAUUUUCGGAUCGUAAACUCUGGUCGAAUGGGACGAAAAGGUCACGGUCUAAUACUCCGUGAUCCUGACGGUACCGUUAAAGGAAACCCCGGCUAACUCCGUGCCAGCAGCCGCGGUAA